This 560-nucleotide ribosomal RNA is filed under the name uncultured bacterium. Its description in RNAcentral is "bacterial SSU rRNA". It matches the Rfam family "Bacterial small subunit ribosomal RNA", at positions 133 to 694 of the family's 1533-position model. The record is from RNAcentral.
AUACAGGGGGAUAACACUUAGAAAUAGGUGCUAAUACCGCAUAAGCGCACGGUUCCGCAUGGAACAGUGUGAAAAACUCCGGUGGUAUACGAUGGAUCCGCGUCUGAUUAGCCAGUUGGUGGGGUAACGGCCCACCAAAGCGACGAUCAGUAGCCGGCCUGAGAGGGUGAACGGCCACAUUGGGACUGAGACACGGCCCAAACUCCUACGGGAGGCAGCAGUGGGGAAUAUUGCACAAUGGGGGAAACCCUGAUGCAGCGACGCCGCGUGAGUGAAGAAGUAUUUCGGUACGUAAAGCUCUAUCAGCAGGGAAGAAAAAAAGUCCUUUGGACUUUGGACGGUACCUGACCAAGAAGCCCCGGCUAACUACGUGCCAGCAGCCGCGGUAAUACGUAGGGGGCAAGCGUUAUCCGGAUUUACUGGGUGUAAAGGGAGCGUAGACGGCAGCGCAAGUCUGGAGUGAAAUGCCGGGGCCCAACCCCGGAACUGCUUUGGAAACUGUGCAGCUCGAGUGCAGGAGAGGUAAGCGGAAUUUCUAGUGUAGCGGUGAAAUGCGUAGA